GUACUUACCUGGCAUGGGAGACACCUUGAUUACGAAAGAGGCGAGACCAUUGCACUCUGGCCAUGCUGACCCCUGUGAAUUCCCCCAAAUGUGGGAAUCUUGACUGCAUCAUUUCCGGUAAUGGGAAACUGCGUCCACACUCUACGCU
Molecule: small nuclear RNA, 148 nt
Filed under: Salmo salar (Atlantic salmon)
Lineage: Eukaryota; Metazoa; Chordata; Actinopteri; Salmoniformes; Salmonidae
Description: U1 spliceosomal RNA (ENSSSAG00000081112.2, ENSSSAG00020083972.1, ENSSSAG00070008141.1, ENSSSAG00075004594.1)
Rfam family: U1 spliceosomal RNA
About the family: U1 is a small nuclear RNA (snRNA) component of the spliceosome (involved in pre-mRNA splicing).
Source: RNAcentral